CAGCAGCCGCGGUAAAACGAAGGGUGCAAGCGUUAAUCGGAAUUACUGGGCGUAAAGCGUGCGUAGGCGGCUUCUUAAGUCGGAUGUGAAAUCCCUGAGCUUAACUUAGGAAUUGCAUUCGAUACUGGGAAGCUAGAGUAUGGGAGAGGAUGGUAGAAUUCCAGGUGUAGCGGUGAAAUGCGUAGAGAUCUGGAGGAAUACCGAUGGCGAAGGCAGCCAUCUGGCCUAAUACUGACGCUGAGGUACGAAAGCAUGGGGAGCAAACAGGAUUAGAUACCCCCGUAGUCCCUGUCUCUUAUAC
This 301-nucleotide ribosomal RNA is filed under the name uncultured bacterium. Its description in RNAcentral is "partial 16S ribosomal RNA". It matches the Rfam family "Bacterial small subunit ribosomal RNA", at positions 509 to 807 of the family's 1533-position model. The record is from RNAcentral.